Molecule: ribosomal RNA, 510 nt
Filed under: uncultured bacterium
Lineage: Bacteria
Description: partial 16S ribosomal RNA
Rfam family: Bacterial small subunit ribosomal RNA
Source: RNAcentral
GACGAACGCUGGCGGCGUGCUUAACACAUGCAAGUCGAACGAAGAGCGAUGGAAGCUUGCUUCUAUCAAUCUUAGUGGCGAACGGGUGAGUAACGCGUAAUCAACCUGCCCUUCAGAGGGGGACAACAGUUGGAGACGACUGCUAAUACCGCAUACGAUCUAAUCUCGGCAUCGAGGAUAGAUGAAAGGUGGCCUCUACAUGUAAGCUAUCACUGAAGGAGGGGAUUGCGUCUGAUUAGGUAGAUGGAGGGGUAACGGCCCACCAAGGCGAUGGUCAGUAGCCGGUCGGAGAGGAUGAGCGGCCACAUUGGGACUGAGACACGGCCCAGACUCCUACGGGAGGCAGCAGUGGGGAAUCUUCCGCAAUGGACGAAAGACUGACGGAGCAACGCCGCGUGAGUGAUGACGGCCUUCGGGUUGUAAAGCUCUGUUAAUCGGGACGAAAGGCCUUCUUGCGAAUAGUGAGAAGGAUUGACGGUACCGGAAUAGAAAGCCACGGCUAACUACGUG